Arachis ipaensis is the source of this 771-nucleotide non-coding RNA. The record is from RefSeq and is a predicted model, not a curated record. Lineage: Eukaryota; Viridiplantae; Streptophyta; Magnoliopsida; Fabales; Fabaceae.
CAAAAAGCAUAGGGGCGACUCACCUAACACCAUUGAAUCUCAUAUUAAACUUCCAAAUAUACUAUAUAACGAAAAGAACACGCUAAAAAAGUAGUACAAUCAUUAUAUGCAAGUUCUUCUACCUUUAGGCACAAUGAGACUCGCUCUGUUUCUUCAAUGUCUCUGCCUAGCGCUGCUUCUGAUUCAUCCCUCCGUUUUAGGUCACAAAAAUUUUUAAAAUUUGAUAUUUUAGUCUCACAAGUUUUAAAAUACACUAAAUAAUCUUCGAAAAUUACUUCUAACAAUUUAAUUCUUAACCAAUUUUUACUGUUUGUCAAUAAUUUUGUCUGCUGAUGUAGAACCUUAAACUUACACACAUGACCAUACUUGAUUUGGUGAUAAUUACAUAUAAUCUACAAAGACACUUCAGAUGUUGUCCCUGGCUUAACCCUUUGUUAUCGGCAACAUCGUAAUUGGCCUUCUCUUUGCAACGGCUAGAACAAGCUAAACGUUAUCCACUGCUGGCCAUUAAAACAACGGCAGCUAUAGGAGAUGAAAUAGGGUUUUUCAUUCUCCGUCGCAACAUGCUUAAAGAGGAGAGUGGAGAUUGGGUUUAAAAUAAUGCCGUUUUCUUAAAUAAGUUCAGGGACUAAAUUGUCCAUCUCGUACACGUAGAUACUUAAAAGUCAUGUGUAUGUACGUUAACAUUUUACAUCAGCAGUCAAUGUUAUUGACAAAUAACAAAAAUUGAUCGGGACUAAAUUGUUUAAUGAAAAUAAAUUUUAGAGACUA